CUGGUUGAUCCUGCCAGACCCCACUGCUAUCGGGAUAGGACUAAGACAUGCUAGUCAAGCGCUCACCAGCCAAAGGUGAGUGCAGCGCACAGCUCAGUAACACGUGGCUAACCUGCCCUUGGGAUAGGGACAACCCCGGGAAACUGGGGCUAAUCCCCAAUAGGCGAAGAGCUCUGGAAUGAGCCUUCACCCGAAAGGAUACUUGCACUAUGCUUGCAGGCUUCGCCCAAGGAUGGGGCCGCGACCGAUCGGGUUGUUGGUGAGGCAACGGCUCACCAAGCCUAUAACCGGUGCGGGCCGUGGGAGCGGGAGCCCGGAGAUGGGCACUGAGACAAGGGCCCAGGCCCUACGGGGCGCAGCAGUCGCGCAAACUUUGCAAUACACGCAAGUGUGACAGGGCUAUCCCGAGUGCCGUCCGCUGAGGAUGGCUUUUACCCAGUCUAGAAAGCUGGGGGAAUAAGGAGAGGGCAAGUCUGGUGUCAGCCGCCGCGGUAAUACCAGCUCUCCGAGUGGUGUGGAUGUUUAUUGGGCCUAAAGCAUCCGUAGCUGGCCAAGCCAGUCCCUUGUUAAACCCACCGAAUUAAUCGUUGGAUUGCGGGGGAUACUGCUCGGCUAGGGGACGAGAGAGGCAGACGGUAUUCUCGGGGUAGGGGUGAAAUCCUAUAAUCCCGAGAAGACCACCAGUGGCGAAGGCUGUCUGCUAGAACGCGCCCGACGGUGAGGGAUGAAAGCUGGGGGAGCGAACCGGAUUAGAUACCCGGGUAGUCCCAGCUGUAAACGAUGCAGGCUAGGUGUUUGGGCGGCCACGUGCCGCUCUAGUGCCGCAGGGAAGCUGUUAAGCCUGCCGCCUGGGGAGUACGGUCGCAAGAUUGAAACUUAAAGGAAUUGGCGGGGGAGCACCACAAGGGGUGAAGCUUGCGGUUUAAUUGGAUUCAACGCCG
RNAcentral lists this ribosomal RNA (941 nucleotides) under uncultured archaeon. RNAcentral's name for it is "bacterial SSU rRNA". It matches the Rfam family "Archaeal small subunit ribosomal RNA", at positions 4 to 920 of the family's 1478-position model. The record is from RNAcentral.